UUUGACAUCUGAGUGACUACAUUUUAUUUUUAUAAUCAUUAUAGCUGUCUUUAGAUGUUUUUAAGAAGCAGUUUAACACAAUGAUUAAUUAUUACGCGAUUAUGCUCAGUAAUAAAAUGUUAACUGUGACUGAAAUUUCAAUCUAAGGGGUAUUAAAACCAUUUUGUAUACUGAGCUUUGUUCAUGAUGACUGUGUAGGGAAAGACGCCGGUUGUCCAUGACAAAGAUAUUCCAUACUUUUUCCACCAGUUCUCAGUCAACUGGUCGACUCCAUUAUUAAAGCUAAAACUACAUUAUACAAGACAAGAGUGCGGAGACUGUGCGCACACUGAUCACAAAACGCAGAACAACAACCCGAGAGACGAGCUAGCAUUUAAAUACAUGUAAAUAAUGAUAGGUACAACCGGGUCACUGCCAUUGAGGUUGCCCGUGAGAACGGUUUGAAGAAGUGUCGAGAGCUGGCCUCCAGUCUGUACCAGGAAUGGAUGGACAACCCCAGCGUCAACCCGUAUCUCAAGUACACUCUGGAUCCGGAGAAGAUCUGGAAGAUGGAUUCCAUCCCAACUAUCAGCUACAUCUCUAGAAACGUGGUUGGCCAGUCGCUGGUGUGAGACUUCAUCCGACCCUACUCCACCACCAGGAACUUGUGAUAGAAGUGCAAUAUUUUUACAAGCCUUGAUUGAUUCACACUGAUUCCAGGCUGAUCCAUCGAGCCCUUACUCACUGCUUCACUAGAGUGGUCUUUGUCGGCUCCCCGUCGCCCCUGUUUAUAAUACCUGGAAAUAUAAAAGGGCUCUCUAGAAAUACAUAGGAGUUUUAAAACCAGAUUUUUAUAAUUACAUUUUA
Long non-coding RNA from Polyodon spathula (Mississippi paddlefish), 846 nucleotides. RefSeq lists it as uncharacterized. The record is from RefSeq and is a predicted model, not a curated record. NCBI's taxonomy places the organism in Eukaryota, Metazoa, Chordata, Actinopteri, Acipenseriformes, Polyodontidae. The transcript has 3 exons.